This 25-nucleotide non-coding RNA is filed under the name Rattus norvegicus (Norway rat). Lineage: Eukaryota; Metazoa; Chordata; Mammalia; Rodentia; Muridae. The record is from RNAcentral.
UUUUUUUUCUUUUCUUUUUAGUGAU